GACGAACGCUGGCGGCGCGCUUAACACAUGCAAGUCGAACGGAAAGGCCUGCUUUCCCUUGUGGAUUGCGGGUACUCGAGUGGCGAACGGGUGAGUAACACGUGAGUGAUCUGCCCCCAACUUGGGUAUAAGCCUGGGAAACUGGGUCUAAUUCCCGAUAGGACUGCAGGGUGGUGCCUGUGGUGGAAAACGAUUUUCUAGUGGUUGGGGAUGAGCUCGCGGCCUAUCAGCUUGUUGGUGGGGUAAUGGCCUACCAAGGCGGCGACGGGUAGCCGGCCUGGGAGGGUGGACGGCCACAUUGGGACUGAGAUACGGCCCAGACGCCUACGGGAGGCAGCAGUGGGGAAUAUUGCACAAUGGGCGGAAGCCUGAUGCAGCGACGCAGCGUGGGGGAUGACGGCCUUCGGGUUGUAAACUCCUUUCGACCGCGAGGAAGCCACCUGGUUGGAAGGGUGGUGACGGUAGUGGUAGAAGAAGCACCGGCUAACUACGUG
RNAcentral lists this ribosomal RNA (494 nucleotides) under uncultured bacterium. RNAcentral's name for it is "partial 16S ribosomal RNA". It matches the Rfam family "Bacterial small subunit ribosomal RNA", at positions 28 to 507 of the family's 1533-position model. The record is from RNAcentral.